GAUGAACGCUGGCGGCGUGCCUAAUACAUGCAAGUCGAGCGAACGGACGAGAAGCUUGCUUCUCUGAUGUUAGCGGCGGACGGGUGAGUAACACGUGGAUAACCUACCUAUAAGACUGGGAUAACUUCGGGAAACCGGAGCUAAUACCGGAUGAUAUUUUGAACCGCAUGGUUCAAAAGUGAAAGACGGUCUUGCUGUCACUUAUAGAUGGAUCCGCGCUGCAUUAGCUAGUUGGUAAGGUAACGGCUUACCAAGGCAACGAGGCAUAGCCGACCUGAGAGGGGGAUCGGCCACACUGGAGCUGAGACACGGUCAUGGCUCCUGCGGGAGGCAGCAGUAGGGAAUCUUCCGCAGUGGGCGAAAACCUGACGGAGCAACGCCGCGUGAGUGAUGAAGGUCUUCGGAUCGUAAAACUCUGUUAUUAGGGAAGAACAUAUGUGUAAGUAACUGUGCACAUCUUGACGGUACCUAAUCAGAAAGCCACGGCUAACUACGUG
This 497-nucleotide ribosomal RNA is filed under the name uncultured bacterium. Its description in RNAcentral is "partial 16S ribosomal RNA". It matches the Rfam family "Bacterial small subunit ribosomal RNA", at positions 28 to 507 of the family's 1533-position model. The record is from RNAcentral.